Molecule: ribosomal RNA, 253 nt
Filed under: uncultured bacterium
Lineage: Bacteria
Description: partial 16S ribosomal RNA
Rfam family: Bacterial small subunit ribosomal RNA
Source: RNAcentral
AACGUAGGGUGCAAGCGUUGACCGGAUUCACUGGGCGUAAAGCGCGUGUAGGCGGUCCGUCAAGUCGGGUGUGAAAUCUCGAGGCUCAACCUCGAAAUCGCAUCCGAUACUGGCGGACUUGAGGACGGUAGAGGUCGGUGGAAUUCCCGGUGUAGCGGUGAAAUGGGCAGAUAUCGGGAGGAACACCCGUGGCGAAGGCGGCCCCCUGGGCCGUACCUGACGCUGAGGCGCGAAGGCUAGGGGAGCGAACGGG